GUGAGGAAUAUUGCGCAAUGGAGGCAACUCUGACGCAGCCAUGCCGCGUGCAGGAAGAAGGCGCUACGCGUUGUAAACUGCUUUUAACCGGGAAGAAACCCCAGGACGUGUCCUGGGUUGACGGUACCGGAGGAAUAAGCACCGGCUAACUUCGUGCCAGCAGCCGCGGUAAUACGAAGGGUGCAAGCGUUAUCCGGAUUCAUUGGGUUUAACGGGUGCGUAGGCGGAGCGUUAAGUCAGUGGUGAAAUCCUGCAGCUUAACUGUAGACUUGCCAUUGAUACUGGCGCUCUUGAGUGCGCUUGAAGUGGGCGGAAUGUGCCGUGUAGCGGUGAAAUGCUUAGAUAUGGCACAGAACACCAAUUGCGAAGGCAGCUCACUAAGGCGAUACUGACGCUGAGGCACGAAAGCGUGGGGAUCGAACAGGAUUAGAUACCCCGGUAGUCC
Molecule: ribosomal RNA, 445 nt
Filed under: uncultured bacterium
Lineage: Bacteria
Description: partial 16S ribosomal RNA
Rfam family: Bacterial small subunit ribosomal RNA
Source: RNAcentral